RNAcentral lists this ribosomal RNA (446 nucleotides) under uncultured bacterium. RNAcentral describes it as "partial 16S ribosomal RNA". It matches the Rfam family "Bacterial small subunit ribosomal RNA", at positions 338 to 795 of the family's 1533-position model. The record is from RNAcentral.
CCUACGGGUGGCAGCAGUCGAGAAUCAUUCACAAUGGGGGAAACCCUGAUGGUGCGACGCCGCGUGGGGGAAUGAAGGUCUUCGGAUUGUAAACCCCUGUCAUGUGGGAGCAAAUUAAAAAGAUAGUACCACAAGAGGAAGAGACGGCUAACUCUGUGCCAGCAGCCGCGGUAAUACAGAGGUCUCAAGCGUUGUUCGGAAUCACUGGGCGUAAAGCGUGCGUAGGCUGUUUCGUAAGUCGUGUGUGAAAGGCGCGGGCUCAACCCGCGGACGGCAAAGGAUACUGCGAGACUAGAGUAAGGGAGGGGGAACCGGAAUUCUCGGUGUAGCAGUGAAAUGCGUAGAUAUCGAGAGGAACACUCGUGGCGAAGGCGGGUUCCUGGACAUUAACUGACGCUGAGGCACGAAGGCCAGGGGAGCGAAAGGGAUUAGAUACCCCAGUAGUC